Molecule: ribosomal RNA, 229 nt
Filed under: uncultured bacterium
Lineage: Bacteria
Description: partial 16S ribosomal RNA
Rfam family: Bacterial small subunit ribosomal RNA
Source: RNAcentral
UACGUAGGCGGAAAAUUAAGUCAGUGGUGAAAUCCCGCAGCUUAACUGUGGAACUGUUAUUGAUACUGGUUUUCUUGAAUAUAGUUGAGGUAGGCGGAAUGUGUAAUGUAGCGGUGAAAUGCUUAGAUAUUACACAGAACACCGAUUGCGAAGGCAGCUUACUUAGCUAUGAUUGACGCUGAGGUACGAAAGCGUGGGGAGCGAACAGGAUUAGAUACCCUGGUAGUCC